AUCCACCCGACAAGUCCUGAACAAAACGAAACACGUUUCGUGGAU
Molecule: non-coding RNA, 45 nt
Filed under: Trichobilharzia regenti
Lineage: Eukaryota; Metazoa; Platyhelminthes; Trematoda; Strigeidida; Schistosomatidae
Source: RNAcentral